AUUGCAGAAUUCAGUGAAUCAUCGAAUCUUUGAACGCACCUUGCGCCCUCUGGCUAUUCCGGAGGGCAUGCCUGUUUGAGUAUCAUG
RNAcentral lists this ribosomal RNA (87 nucleotides) under uncultured fungus. Its description in RNAcentral is "partial 5.8S ribosomal RNA". It matches the Rfam family "5.8S ribosomal RNA", at positions 71 to 154 of the family's 154-position model. Rfam says of the family: 5.8S ribosomal RNA (5.8S rRNA) is a component of the large subunit of the eukaryotic ribosome. It is transcribed by RNA polymerase I as part of the 45S precursor that also contains 18S and 28S rRNA. Lineage: Eukaryota; Fungi. The record is from RNAcentral.